This 169-nucleotide ribosomal RNA is filed under the name uncultured bacterium. RNAcentral describes it as "partial 16S ribosomal RNA". It matches the Rfam family "Bacterial small subunit ribosomal RNA", at positions 104 to 285 of the family's 1533-position model. The record is from RNAcentral.
GGGUGCGUAACACGUGGGUAACCUGCCCUUUGGUGGGGAAUAACCUCGCGAAAGCGAGGCUAAUUCCGCAUAAGAUCCGCCAGGAUGAAAGCCGCAAGGCGCCGAAGGAGGGGCCCGCGCACGAUUAGUUAGUUGGUAGGGUAAAGGCCUACCAAGACUAUGAUCGUUA